RNAcentral lists this ribosomal RNA (434 nucleotides) under uncultured bacterium. Its description in RNAcentral is "partial 16S ribosomal RNA". It matches the Rfam family "Bacterial small subunit ribosomal RNA", at positions 29 to 507 of the family's 1533-position model. The record is from RNAcentral.
AGCGAACGCUGGCGGCAGGCCUAACACAUGCAAGUCGAACGAACCUUUCGGGGUUAGUGGCGGACGGGUGAGUAACACGUGGGAACGUGCCUUUAGGUUCGGAAUAACUCAGGGAAACUUGUGCUAAUACCGAAUGUGCCCUUCGGGGGAAAGAUUAAUCGCCUUUAGAGCGGCCCGCGUCUGAUUAGCUAGUUGGUUGAGGUAAUGGCUCACCAAGGCGACGAUCAGUAGAUGGUCUGAGAGGAUGAUCAGCCACAUUGGGACUGAGACACGGCCCAAACUCCUACGGGAGGCAGCAGUGGGGAAUCUUGCGCAAUGGGCGAAAGCCUGACGCAGCCAUGCCGCGUGAAUGAUGAAGGUCUUAGGAUUGUAAAAUUCUUUCACCGGGGACGAUAAUGACGGUACCCGGAGAAGAAGCCCCGGCUAACUUCGUG